Molecule: ribosomal RNA, 301 nt
Filed under: uncultured bacterium
Lineage: Bacteria
Description: partial 16S ribosomal RNA
Rfam family: Bacterial small subunit ribosomal RNA
Source: RNAcentral
CAGUCGCCGCGGUAAUACGGAGGGUGCAAGCGUUAAUCGGAAUUACUGGGCGUAAAGCGCACGCAGGCGGUUUGUUAAGUCAGAUGUGAAAUCCCCGGGCUCAACCUGGGAACUGCAUCUGAUACUGGCAAGCUUGAGUCUCGUAGAGGGGGGUAGAAUUCCAGGUGUAGCGGUGAAAUGCGUAGAGAUCUGGAGGAAUACCGGUGGCGAAGGCGGCCCCCUGGACGAAGACUGACGCUCAGGUGCGAAAGCGUGGGGAGCAAACAGGAUUAGAUACCCGUGUAGUCCCUGUCUCUUAUAC